Molecule: transfer RNA, 89 nt
Filed under: Ephemerocybe angulata
Lineage: Eukaryota; Fungi; Basidiomycota; Agaricomycetes; Agaricales; Psathyrellaceae
Description: Coprinellus angulatus tRNA
Rfam family: tRNA
About the family: Transfer RNA (tRNA) molecules are approximately 80 nucleotides in length. Their secondary structure includes four short double-helical elements and three loops (D, anti-codon, and T loops).
Source: Rfam by way of RNAcentral
CUCACUUUAGCUCAGCUGGAAGAGCAUGAGACUGUAAACAGGAUAAUUCGCAAAUCUCAGGGUCGCCUGUUCGAGCCAGGCAAGUGAGA